UCCCUGGUGGUCCAGUGGCUAAGACUCCACACUCCUAUUACAUGGGGCCCAGGUUCAAUCCCUGGUCAGGGAA
RNAcentral lists this transfer RNA (73 nucleotides) under Bos taurus (domestic cattle). It matches the Rfam family "tRNA". Rfam says of the family: Transfer RNA (tRNA) molecules are approximately 80 nucleotides in length. Their secondary structure includes four short double-helical elements and three loops (D, anti-codon, and T loops). Further hydrogen bonds mediate the characteristic L-shaped molecular structure. tRNAs have two regions of fundamental functional importance: the anti-codon, which is responsible for specific mRNA codon recognition, and the 3' end, to which the tRNAs corresponding amino acid is attached (by aminoacyl-tRNA synthetases). tRNAs cope with the degeneracy of the genetic code in two manners: having more than one tRNA (with a specific anti-codon) for a particular amino acid; and 'wobble' base-pairing, i.e. permitting non-standard base-pairing at the 3rd anti-codon position. The record is from Rfam by way of RNAcentral. Lineage: Eukaryota; Metazoa; Chordata; Mammalia; Artiodactyla; Bovidae. RNAcentral also lists the same sequence under 5 other names.